RNAcentral lists this long non-coding RNA (518 nucleotides) under Androctonus crassicauda. Lineage: Eukaryota; Metazoa; Arthropoda; Arachnida; Scorpiones; Buthidae. The record is from RNAcentral.
AACAUGUGCAAACGCUCAAGGAACAGAAUUGGUUUCUCUAAAGCCUCGUACACACUUGCGAACAGAACGGCGAACCGAACGGAGAAGCGAACGGCGAGCCGCAAUCAGAACCGUACGCCGAACCUCCCUGCGAACACCGAUAUGUGGCGCGGUUGCUUGGUUCGCUGUUUUUCCGUCUCACGAGACUACGAUGUAUCGACAACAAGAAGUGGCAGCCGCUUAUAUUUAUGUUCAUCUUGCCUUUAAAAAAGAAGAAACAAAGAAAAAAAAGACGAUGAUGGCAAACUCAGAUGUAUAAUAGUAGAUCAGUGUCUGGUGGGAUUAGAUUAAUACAAGAUUUGAGAAGUCAAGAAUCAAAUGGAUAGUUUCAUAAUUUUACUGGAAUGCAUUCUGAUGAUUACGAUUUACUUUUAAAUUUAAUUGGACUCAAAAUCGCUAAAAAAAAUGUGUUUUUAACAGAAGCCAUAACCGUUCAUGAAAGAUUCUAUAAAUUUUAAAGUCAUAUUCUUUGAUCAUUC